GAGUUUGAUCCUGGCUCAGGACGAACGCUGGCGGCGUGCUUAACACAUGCAAGUCGAGCGAUGAAGUUUCUUCGGAAAUGGAUUAGCGGCGAACGGGUGAGGAACACGUGAAGAAUCUGCCCUCCACUUUGGGAUAACACCGGGAAACCGGUGCUAAUACCGAAUAUUGAAACAUAAGUGGCAUCACUGAGUUUUUAAAGAAUUUCGGUGGAGGAUGACUUCGCGGCCUAUCAGCUAGUUGGUGAGGUAAUGGCUCACCAAGGCAACGACGGGUAGCCGGCCUGAGAGGGCGACCGGCCACACUGGGACUGAGACACGGCCCAGACUCCUACGGGAGGCAGCAGUGGGGAAUAUUGGGCAAUGGAGGAAACUCUGACCCAGCGACGCCGCGUGCGGGAUGAAGGCCUUCGGGUUGUAAACCGCUUUCAGUAGGGAAGAAGCGAAAGUGACGGUACCUACAAAAGAAGCACCGGCUAACUAUGUGCCAGCAGCCGCGGUAAUACAUAGGGUGCAAGCGUUGUCCGGAAUUAUUGGGCGUAAAGAGCUCGUAGGUCGUUUGCCACGUCGGAUGUGAAAACCUGAGGCUCAACCUCAGGCCUGCAUUCGAUACGAGCAAACUAGAGUUUGGUAGGGGAGACUGGAAUUCCUGGUGUAGCGGUGGAAUGCGCAGAUAUCAGGAGGAACACCAACGGCGAAGGCAGGUCUCUGGGCCAAUACUGACACUGAGGAGCGAAAGUCUGGGGAGCGAACAGGAUUAGAUACCCUGGUAGUCCAGACCGUAAACGGUGGGCACUAGUUGUGGGAACCUUCCACGGUUUCUGCGACGCAGCUAACGCAUUAAGUGCCCCGCCUGGGGAGUACGAUCGCAAGAUUAAAACUCAAAGGAAUUGACGGGGCCCCGCACAAGCAGCGGAGCAUGCGGCUUAAUUCGACGCAACGCGAAGAACCUUACCAAGGCUUGACAUAUAGGGAAAAGUGGCAGAGAUGUCAUGUCCGCAAGGGCUCUAUACAGGUGGUGCAUGGUUGUCGUCAGCUCGUGUCGUGAGAUGUUGGGUUAAGUCCCGCAACGAGCGCAACCCAA
This 1081-nucleotide ribosomal RNA is filed under the name uncultured bacterium. RNAcentral's name for it is "bacterial SSU rRNA". It matches the Rfam family "Bacterial small subunit ribosomal RNA", at positions 9 to 1106 of the family's 1533-position model. The record is from RNAcentral.